RNAcentral lists this ribosomal RNA (584 nucleotides) under uncultured bacterium. Its description in RNAcentral is "partial 16S ribosomal RNA". It matches the Rfam family "Bacterial small subunit ribosomal RNA", at positions 355 to 1375 of the family's 1533-position model. The record is from RNAcentral.
UGGGGAAUUUUGGACAAUGGGCGAAAGCCUGAUCCAGCAAUGCCGCGUGUGUGAAGAAGGCCUUCGGGUUGUAAAGCACUUUUGUCCGGAAAGAAAUCCUUGGCUCUAAUACAGUCGGGGGAUGACGGUACCGGAAGAAUAGGCACCGGCUAACUACGUGCCAGCAGCCGCGGUAAUACGUAGGGUGCAAGCGUUAAUCGGAAUUACUGGGCGUAAAGCGUGCGCAGGCGGUUUGCUAAGACCGAUGUGAAAUCCCCGGGCUCAACCUGGGAACUGCAUUGGUGACUGGCAGGCUAGAGUAUGGCAGAGGGGGGUAGAAUUCCACGUGUAGCAGUGAAAUGCGUAGAGAUGUGGAGGAAUACCGAUGGCGAAGGCAGCCCCCUGGGCCAAUACUGACGCUCAUGCACGAAAGCGUGGGGAGCAAACAGGAUUAGAUACCCUGGUAGUCCACGCCCUAAACGAUGUCAACUAGUUGUUGGGGAUUCAUUUCCUUAGUAACGUAGCUAACGCGUGAAGUUGACCGCCUGGGGAGUACGGUCGCAAGAUUAAAACUCAAGGAAUUGACGGGGUCAUAGCUGUUUCCU